Molecule: ribosomal RNA, 492 nt
Filed under: uncultured bacterium
Lineage: Bacteria
Description: partial 16S ribosomal RNA
Rfam family: Bacterial small subunit ribosomal RNA
Source: RNAcentral
AGUGAACGCUGGCGGUAGGCCUAACACAUGCAAGUCGAACGGCAGCACAGUAAGAGCUUGCUCUUACGGGUGGCGAGUGGCGGACGGGUGAGGAAUACAUCGGAAUCUACUUUUUCGUGGGGGAUAACGUAGGGAAACUUACGCUCAUACCGCAUACGACCUACGGGUGAAAGCAGGGGAUCUUCGGACCUUGCGCGAUUGAAUGAGCCGAUGUCGGAUUAGCUAGUUGGCGGGGUAAAGGCCCACCAAGGCGACGAUCCGUAGCUGGUCUGAGAGGAUGAUCGGCCACACUAGAGCUUAGACACGGUCCAGACUCCUACGGGAGGCAGCAGUGGGGAAUAUUGGACAAUGGGCGCAAGCCUGAUCCAGCCAUACCGCGUGGGUGAAGAAGGCCUUCGGGUUGUAAAGCCCUUUUGUUGGGAAAGAAAAGCAGCAGGUUAAUACCCCGCUGUUCUGACGGUACCCAAAGAAUAAGCACCGGCUAACUUCGUG